This 492-nucleotide ribosomal RNA is filed under the name uncultured bacterium. RNAcentral describes it as "partial 16S ribosomal RNA". It matches the Rfam family "Bacterial small subunit ribosomal RNA", at positions 29 to 507 of the family's 1533-position model. The record is from RNAcentral.
AGUGAACGCUGGCGGUAGGCCUAACACAUGCAAGUCGAACGGCAGCACAGUAAGAGCUUGCUCUUACGGGUGGCGAGUGGCGGACGGGUGAGGAAUACAUCGGCAUCUACUUUUUCGUGGGGGAUAACGUAGGGAAACUUACGCUAAUACCGCAUACGACCUACGGGUGAAAGCAGGGGAUCUUCGGACCUUGCGCGAUUGAAUGAGCCGAUGUCGGAUUAGCUAGUUGGCGGGGUAAAGGCCCACCAAGGCGACGAUCCGUAGCUGGUCUGAGAGGAUGAUCAGCCACACUGGAACUGAGACACGGUCCAGACUCCUACGGGAGGCAGCAGUGGGGAAUAUUGGACAAUGGGCGCAAGCCUGAUCCAGCCAUACCGCGUGGGGGAAGAAGGCCUUCGGGUUGUAAAGCUCUUUUGUUGGGAAAGAAAAGCAGCAGGUGAAUACCCCGCUGUUCUGACGGUACCCAAAGAAUAAGCACCGGCUAACUUCGUG